RNAcentral lists this ribosomal RNA (687 nucleotides) under uncultured bacterium. RNAcentral's name for it is "bacterial SSU rRNA". It matches the Rfam family "Bacterial small subunit ribosomal RNA", at positions 141 to 844 of the family's 1533-position model. The record is from RNAcentral.
GGAUAACAGUUAGAAAUGACUGCUAAUACCGCAUAAGCGCACAAAACCGCAUGGUUUGGUGUGAAAAACUGAGGUGGUAUGAGAUGGACCCGCGUCUGAUUAGCUAGUUGGAGAGGUAACGGCUCACCAAGGCAACGAUCAGUAGCCGACCUGAGAGGGUGACCGGCCACAUUGGGACUGAGACACGGCCCAAACUCCUACGGGAGGCAGCAGUGGGGAAUAUUGCACAAUGGGGGAAACCCUGAUGCAGCAACGCCGCGUGAGUGAAGAAGUAUUUCGGUAUGUAAAGCUCUAUCAGCAGGGAAGAAGAGAGACGGUACCUGACUAAGAAGCCCCGGCUAACUACGUGCCAGCAGCCGCGGUAAUACGUAGGGGGCAAGCGUUAUCCGGAUUUACUGGGUGUAAAGGGAGCGUAGACGGCUUGAUAAGUCUGAAGUGAAAGGCCAAGGCUUAACCAUGGAACUGCUUUGGAAACUAUGAGGCUAGAGUGCUGGAGAGGUAAGCGGAAUUCCUAGUGUAGCGGUGAAAUGCGUAGAUAUUAGGAGGAACACCAGUGGCGAAGGCGGCUUACUGGACAGAAACUGACGUUGAGGCUCGAAAGCGUGGGGAGCAAACAGGAUUAGAUACCCUGGUAGUCCACGCGGUAAACGAUGAAUGCUAGGUGUUGGUGGGCAAAGCCCAUUCGGU